GGAGGGGUGACAGAGUGGUCUAAUGUGGUGGUUUUGAAAACCAUUAAAUUUUUAAUAAUUUCAAGGGUUCGAACCCCUUCCCCUCUU
RNAcentral lists this transfer RNA (87 nucleotides) under Candidatus Organicella extenuata. RNAcentral's name for it is "tRNA-Ser". It matches the Rfam family "tRNA". Rfam says of the family: Transfer RNA (tRNA) molecules are approximately 80 nucleotides in length. Their secondary structure includes four short double-helical elements and three loops (D, anti-codon, and T loops). Lineage: Bacteria; Pseudomonadati; Verrucomicrobiota. The record is from RNAcentral.